AAAGAGACUUCCAAUAAGUGCAUUCAACCAUGAGGGUACAAACUCGGAACAGCAAGAAUCACAAAAAGUAUUAGAUUCAAAUCAGC
Long non-coding RNA from Etheostoma spectabile (orangethroat darter), 86 nucleotides. RefSeq lists it as uncharacterized. The transcript has 3 exons. NCBI's taxonomy places the organism in Eukaryota, Metazoa, Chordata, Actinopteri, Perciformes, Percidae. The record is from RefSeq and is a predicted model, not a curated record.